Molecule: transfer RNA, 69 nt
Filed under: Urocitellus parryii (Arctic ground squirrel)
Lineage: Eukaryota; Metazoa; Chordata; Mammalia; Rodentia; Sciuridae
Also listed under: 2 other names
Description: Spermophilus parryii (Arctic ground squirrel) tRNA
Rfam family: tRNA
About the family: Transfer RNA (tRNA) molecules are approximately 80 nucleotides in length. Their secondary structure includes four short double-helical elements and three loops (D, anti-codon, and T loops).
Source: Rfam by way of RNAcentral
GGGGCUGAGGUUCAGCGGUAGAACACUUGCCUACCAUGUAUGAGGCACUGGGUUCGAUUCUCAGCACCA